UAUGGAGAUAUUUAGAGUCUGUUGGAAUUAUGUCAAAACACAGCAAUGUCCGUGCAUGGACGCACGGACAAGGCGUUAGCGCCACGGACGGCGCUAAAAGCCGGUUGCGUCCUAUAGCCAAAACCUAAAUCAUAAUUCCUACAGAGUCUUAAUAUCGAAAUAC
The submitters of this non-coding RNA (163 nucleotides) gave its source as unclassified sequences. The record is from Rfam.